Long non-coding RNA from Centruroides sculpturatus (bark scorpion), 549 nucleotides. RefSeq lists it as uncharacterized. The transcript has 3 exons. The record is from RefSeq and is a predicted model, not a curated record. Lineage: Eukaryota; Metazoa; Arthropoda; Arachnida; Scorpiones; Buthidae.
CACCCAGUAUUUGUUAAUAAUUGAAAACGUUAAAAUCAAAACAUGCCUUAUUCAUGUGAUGUUUCGGCGUCUCCCAUUAUGGAUCCCGCCAAAAUAUUCAAUAGUAUAACAUCAUAUAGCUUUCUUCGCUAUCUCCCCACCGAAGAGGCAGCAGAGAAAUUUUUCCAUCUCGUGGGGCUCGUGCUACAUCCGGACCUAACCGGUUUUUUCCGCCAUGUCCUAAGUGCGGAGUGUGUUUCCUCUCUGAUUACAUCUAUGGUGAGAAUUUGACCAGCGUUUUACAAAAGAAGGGACGUUUAGAAGAGACUGAAGCUAAAAUGAUUGGUGCCCAAGUGGCUUCAGCAUUAAUUUACAUACACGAGAAAGGAAUCAUAAUCAUUCACAAGGCGUUGGCUCUAACAACAUCACAUCUCAGAUUCUUUAAAUACUAUGACACACACCUUAUGUGUCUGAGAACCAAUGUUUAUUGUUUUACAAACGUUUUCAACCUGCUCUACCGACCAUCGUCAGGUUUUCUGAAUUUUCUGGAACGUUUUUUGUAUUGGUUCC